Molecule: ribosomal RNA, 301 nt
Filed under: uncultured bacterium
Lineage: Bacteria
Description: partial 16S ribosomal RNA
Rfam family: Bacterial small subunit ribosomal RNA
Source: RNAcentral
CAGCAGCCGCGGUAAUACGUAGGUCCUGAGCGUUGUCCGGAUUUAUUGGGCGUAAAGCGAGCGCAGGCGGUUAGAUAAGUCUGAAGUUAAAGGCUGUGGCUUAACCAUAGUACGCUUUGGAAACUGUUUAACUUGAGUGCAAGAGGGGAGAGUGGAAUUCCAUGUGUAGCGGUGAAAUGCGUAGAUAUAUGGAGGAACACCGGCGGCGAAAGCGGCUCUCUGGCUUGUAACUGACGCUGAGGCUCGAAAGCGUGGGGAGCAAACAGGAUUAGAUACCCGAGUAGUCCCUGUCUCUUAUACA